UCCGGUUGAUCCUGCCGGCACUGACUGCUAUCUGAUUGGUACUAGGCCAUGCGAGUCGUUGUAGCAAUACAAGGCGGACUGCUCAGUAACACGUAGUUAACUUAACCUAUGGAUGGGAAUAACCUCGGGAAACUGAGAAUAAUACCCAAUGGGCCACAGUGCCUGGAAUGGCCUGUGGUUGAAAUGAUUUAUCGCCGUAGGAUAGGACUGCGGCCUAUCAGCUUGUUGGUGAGGUAAUGGCCCACCAAGGCUAUAACAGGUACGGGCUCUGAGAGGAGGGGCCCGGAGAUGGGUACUGAGACACGGACCCAGGCCCUAUGGGGCGCAGCAGGCGAGAAACCUUUGCAAUGUGCGAAAGCACGACAAGGUUAAUCCGAGUGUCUCCUGCUAAAGGAGUCUUUUGUCAGUUGUAGAAUCACUGGUGAAUAAGGGGUGGGCAAGUUCUGGCGUCAGCCGCCGCGGUAAAACCAGCACCUCGAGUGGUCAGGAGGUUUAUUGGGCCUAAAGCAUCCGUAGCCGGUUGCAUAAGUUUUCGGUUAAAUCUAUGCGCUUAACGUAUAGGCCGCCGAAAAUACUGUGCAGCUAGGGAGUGGGAGAGGUACACGGUACUCGAUAGGACGGGGUCAAAUCCUUGAUCUAUUGAGACCCCUGUGGCGAAGGC
This 661-nucleotide ribosomal RNA is filed under the name uncultured archaeon. RNAcentral's name for it is "bacterial SSU rRNA". It matches the Rfam family "Archaeal small subunit ribosomal RNA", at positions 1 to 673 of the family's 1478-position model. The record is from RNAcentral.